RNAcentral lists this ribosomal RNA (465 nucleotides) under uncultured bacterium. RNAcentral's name for it is "partial 16S ribosomal RNA". It matches the Rfam family "Bacterial small subunit ribosomal RNA", at positions 28 to 507 of the family's 1533-position model. The record is from RNAcentral.
GACGAACGCUGGCGGCGUGCUUAACACAUGCAAGUCGAACGGAAAGGCCCUGCUUGCAGGGUACUCGAGUGGCGAACGGGUGAGUCACGCGUGGGUGAUCUGCCCUGCACUUCGGGAUAAGCCUGGGAAACUGGGUCUAAUACCGGAUAGGCUCCUGUUUUAGUGUGAUGGUUGGAAAGUUUUUUCGGUGUAGGAUGAGCUCGCGGCCUAUCAGCUUGUUGGUGGGGUAAUGGCCUACCAAGGCGGCGACGGGUAGCCGGCCUGAGAGGGUGGACGGCCACAUUGGGACUGAGAUACGGCCCAGACUCCUACGGGAGGCAGCAGUGGGGAAUAUUGCACAAUGGGCGCAAGCCUGAUGCAGCGACGCCGCGUGGGGGAUGACGGCCUUCGGGUUGUAAACUGCUUUCGCUAGGGACGAAGCUUUUUGUGACGGUACCUAGAUAAGAAGCACCGGCUAACUACGUG